CCUACGGGCGGCUGCAGUGAGGAAUAUUGGUCAAUGGGCGCGAGCCUGAACCAGCCAAGUAGCGUGAAGGAUGACUGCCCUACGGGUUGUAAACUUCUUUUAUAAAGGAAUAAAGUGAGGCACGUGUGCCGUUUUGUAUGUACUUUAUGAAUAAGGAUCGGCUAACUCCGUGCCAGCAGCCGCGGUAAUACGGAGGAUCCGAGCGUUAUCCGGAUUUAUUGGGUUUAAAGGGAGCGUAGAUGGGUUGUUAAGUCAGUUGUGAAAGUUUGCGGCUCAACCGUAAAAUUGCAAUUGAUACUGGCAGCCUUGAGUGCAGUUGAGGAAGGCGGAAUUCGUGGUGUAGCGGUGAAAUGCAUAGAUAUCACGAAGAACACCGAUGGCGAAGGCGGCUUACCGGCGCCCGACUGACGCUGAGGCACGAAAGCGUGGGGAUCGAACAGGAUUAGAUACCCGAGUAGUC
Molecule: ribosomal RNA, 460 nt
Filed under: uncultured bacterium
Lineage: Bacteria
Description: partial 16S ribosomal RNA
Rfam family: Bacterial small subunit ribosomal RNA
Source: RNAcentral